RNAcentral lists this ribosomal RNA (253 nucleotides) under uncultured bacterium. RNAcentral's name for it is "partial 16S ribosomal RNA". It matches the Rfam family "Bacterial small subunit ribosomal RNA", at positions 524 to 776 of the family's 1533-position model. The record is from RNAcentral.
UACGGAGGGAGCUAGCGUUGUUCGGAAUUACUGGGCGUAAAGCGCGCGUAGGCGGUUUUUUAAGUCAGAGGUGAAAGCCCGGGGCUCAACCCCGGAAUAGCCUUUGAAACUGGAAAGCUAGAAUCUUGGAGAGGUCAGUGGAAUUCCGAGUGUAGAGGUGAAAUUCGUAGAUAUUCGGAAGAACACCAGUGGCGAAGGCGACUGACUGGACAAGUAUUGACGCUGAGGUGCGAAAGCGUGGGGAGCAAACAGG